Molecule: long non-coding RNA, 1050 nt
Filed under: Apteryx rowi (Okarito brown kiwi)
Lineage: Eukaryota; Metazoa; Chordata; Aves; Apterygiformes; Apterygidae
Description: lncRNA (ENSARWG00000007596.1)
Source: RNAcentral
CGUUAACCUAGCUUUGCUGGUAUCAGCACACCGUGGUGGAAAUGACUGGAAAGGAAUGAGGAGCGGAACUGGAACGAGGAACGUGACGCUGCUUUCACUGGACUGGCAGAAGCGGCUGUAAAAUCUGCUGCCCUCAAAUUCCCAGGACAAGGGCGAUGGAUUUUACUAUGCCUUCAUCGAGAAGCGCUGGCUGGCAAAGUUACGUCAUGUCCUGGCAGAGACUCUUAGGCAAGACGGAGGAGUUCAGCUACGCAGCCUGCCAGAAGAACAUUGCCCGGGAGGGGUCGCUAGCCUUGAGCUAUAGGCACCGAUGCACAUGGCUCGUUCUGUCAGGCGUUCAGAGCAUCGGGGAACGACUGUAUGCUGCCGUGAAGAACUACAGGCACCCGCCCUCAGCCCUUUGCAAGUUAUCAGCUAUCAAGAGUGGCCAGGAGACGCCGGCGGAAAGGUGGGUAAGCUGUGACCCCAGCUGCCUUUGCCUUGCUUUGCUGCUUAGUGUCGUAACAGCGACUUGGGACCCCGGAAUAAAAACUGUUACAGUGCUGAAGGGAGGACCUGCAUUUGCCCAGGCUGACGUUCUGAGGGCCAGCAACUGGAAGAGGAGCAGCUCAGCCCGUUUGGUUGAUUUCGGUGAUACUGUUUUAAGGAAGCAUGUGGCUGAAGCAUAGUCCGGCAGUCAAAUGAGCAUUGUCACAGCUGGGAGCUCUGUGGAGAUCUGCGGCCAUCCAUGGAGGACGAGCUCCGACUCGGAGCGUGGACACAGCUACGUCCUGGGGCUGCACUGUAUGUGAGCAGGGCUGGGAGGUGGAAGGUGGUUUUGCCCUCGGUGGUUACUGGUGUCAUUGGCUGUGGCUGUUUGCCCAUGGAGCUGAGAGGACCAAAAAUAUUAAUUGUCUGUAACAGAGAUGAAUUAGUGCUUGUGGUGUUCCAGGUAGGUUCAGUGGAAGUGCAGCUUAGUGCAGUCCUGUGGCGUGAUUCUUGCACAUGCUCGCGUUUGAAUGGUGGCUAAAACCAAGCCUAUAAACAGCAACUGUAACAUGAUUCUGGUGC